UACGUAGGGUGCGAGCGUUAAUCGGAAUUACUGGGCGUAAAGCGUGCGCAGGCGGUUUUGUAAGCCAGAUGUGAAAUCCCCGGGCUUAACCUGGGAAUGGCAUUUGGAACUGCAAGGCUCGAGUGCGGCAGAGGAGACUGGAAUUCCUGGUGUAGCAGUGAAAUGCGUAGAUAUCGGGAGGAACACCAGUGGCGAAGGCGAGUCUCUGGGAUGAUACUGACGCUGAUGCUCGAAAGCUAGGGGAGCAAACGGG
This 253-nucleotide ribosomal RNA is filed under the name uncultured bacterium. Its description in RNAcentral is "partial 16S ribosomal RNA". It matches the Rfam family "Bacterial small subunit ribosomal RNA", at positions 524 to 776 of the family's 1533-position model. The record is from RNAcentral.